RNAcentral lists this long non-coding RNA (363 nucleotides) under Mytilus galloprovincialis (Mediterranean mussel). Lineage: Eukaryota; Metazoa; Mollusca; Bivalvia; Mytilida; Mytilidae. The record is from RNAcentral.
AUAUAUAAACAAGAAUGUGUCCUCAGUACACGAAUGCCCCACUCGCACUAUCAUUUUCCAUGUUCAGUGGACCGUGAAAUUGGGGUUAAAACUCUAAUUUGGCAUUAAAAUUAGAAAGAUCAUAUCAUAGGGAACAUGUGUACUAAGUUUGAAGUCGAUUGGACUUCAACUUCAUCAAAAACUACCUUGACCAAAAACUUUAACCUGGAGCGGGACAGACGGACGAACGGACAGACAGACGGACGGACGGACGGACGAACGGACGGACGGACGAACGGACGGACGAACGGACGGACGGACGAACGGACGCACAGACCAGAAAACAUAAUGCCCCUCUACUAUCGUAGGUGGGGCAUAAAAAAC